UCUACGGAGAGUUUGAUCCUGGCUCAGGACGAACGCUGGCGGCGUGCUUAACACAUGCAAGUCGAGCGAGAGCCUGGAAGCUUGCUUCCAGGGGACAGCGGCGAACGGGUGCGUAACACGUGGGCAACCUGCCCCUCUCACUGGGAUAACCCCGGGAAACCGGAGCUAAUACCGGAUACUCCGGCUGGAUCGCAUGGUCCGGCCGGGAAAGGUCCGCCGGAGAGGGAUGGGCCCGCGGCCUAUCAGCUUGUUGGUGAGGUAACGGCUCACCAAGGCGUCGACGGGUAGCUGGUCUGAGAGGACGACCAGCCACACUGGAACUGAGAUACGGUCCAGACUCCUACGGGAGGCAGCAGUGGGGAAUAUUGCGCAAUGGGCGAAAGCCUGACGCAGCGACGCCGCGUG
RNAcentral lists this ribosomal RNA (405 nucleotides) under Actinomycetota bacterium. RNAcentral describes it as "bacterial SSU rRNA". It matches the Rfam family "Bacterial small subunit ribosomal RNA", at positions 1 to 403 of the family's 1533-position model. Lineage: Bacteria; Bacillati; Actinomycetota. The record is from RNAcentral.